UAGCAGCCAUCUUACAAUGCAGUCGAACGGUGAAGCCAAGCUUGCUUGGUGGAUCAGUGGCGAACGGGUGAGUAACACGUGAGCAACCUGCCCUGAACUCUGGGAUAAGCGCUGGAAACGGUGUCUAAUACUGGAUAUGAGCUGCGGAGGCAUCUUCGUGGUUGGAAAGAUUUUUCGGUUUGGGAUGGGCUCGCGGCCUAUCAGCUUGUUGGUGAGGUAAUGGCUCACCAAGGCGUCGACGGGUAGCCGGCCUGAGAGGGUGACCGGCCACACUGGGACUGAGACACGGCCCAGACUCCUACGGGAGGCAGCAGUGGGGAAUAUUGCACAAUGGGCGGAAGCCUGAUGCAGCAACGCCGCGUGAGGGAUGACGGCCUUCGGGUUGUAAACCUCUUUUAGCAGGGAAGAAGCGUGAGUGACGGUACCUGCAGAAAAAGCGCCGGCUAACUACGUGCCAGCAGCCGCGGUAAUACGUAGGGCGCAAGCGUUAUCCGGAAUUAUUGGGCGUAAAGAGCUCGUAGGCGGUUUGUCGCGUCUGCUGUGAAAACCCGAGGCUCAACCUCGGGCCUGCAGUGGGUACGGGCAGACUAGAGUGCGGUAGGGGAGAUUGGAAUUCCUGGUGUAGCGGUGGAAUGCGCAGAUAUCAGGAGGAACACCGAUGGCGAAGGCAGAUCUCUGGGCCGUAACUGACGCUGAGGAGCGAAAGGGUGGGGAGCAAACAGGCUUAGAUACCCUGGUAGUCCACCCCGUAACGUUGGGAACUAGUUGUGGGGUCCAUUCCACGGAUUCCGUGACGCAGCUACGCAUUAAGUUCCCCGCCUGGGGAGUACGGCCGCAAGGCUAAAACUCAAGGAAUUGACGGGGACCCGCACAAGCGGCGGAGCAUGCGGAUUAAUUCGAUGCAACGCGAAGAACCUUACCAAGGCUUGACAUACACGAGAACGCUGCAGAAAUGUAGAACUCUUUGGGACACUCGUGAACAGGUGGUGCAUGGUUGUCGUCAGCUCGUGUCGUGAGAUGUUUGGGGUUAAGUCCCGCAACGAGCGCAACCCCUCGUUCUAUGUUGCCCAGCACGUAAUGGUGGGGACUCAUGGGAUACUGCCCGGGAUCAACUUCGAGGAGGUGGGAAUGACGUUCAAUCAUCAUGCCCCCAUUAUGUUCUUGGGGCCAUC
RNAcentral lists this ribosomal RNA (1172 nucleotides) under Microbacterium sp. Its description in RNAcentral is "bacterial SSU rRNA". It matches the Rfam family "Bacterial small subunit ribosomal RNA", at positions 37 to 1217 of the family's 1533-position model. Lineage: Bacteria; Bacillati; Actinomycetota; Actinomycetes; Micrococcales; Microbacteriaceae. The record is from RNAcentral.